GUGAGGAAUAUUGGACAAUGGGCGCAAGCCUGAUCCAGCCAUGCCGCGUGCAGGAAGACGCAUCUAUGGUGUGUAAACUGCUUUUGUACGGGAAGAAACACUCCCUCGUGAGGGAGCUUGACGGUACCGUAAGAAUAAGGAUCGGCUAACUCCGUGCCAGCAGCCGCGGUAAUACGGAGGAUCCAAGCGUUAUCCGGAAUCAGUGGGUUUAAAGGGUCCGUAGGCGGUUUAAUAAGUCAGUGGUGAAAGCCCAUCGCUCAACGAUGGAACGGCCAUUGAUACUGUUAGACUUGAAUUACAAGGAAGUAACUAGAAUAUGUAGUGUAGCGGUGAAAUGCUUAGAUAUUACAUGGAAUACCAAUUGCGAAGGCAGGUUACUACUUGUGGAUUGACGCUGAUGGACGAAAGCGUGGGGAGCGAACAGGAUUAGAAACCCGUGUAGUCC
Molecule: ribosomal RNA, 445 nt
Filed under: uncultured bacterium
Lineage: Bacteria
Description: partial 16S ribosomal RNA
Rfam family: Bacterial small subunit ribosomal RNA
Source: RNAcentral